This 465-nucleotide ribosomal RNA is filed under the name Vreelandella stevensii. RNAcentral's name for it is "partial 16S ribosomal RNA". It matches the Rfam family "Bacterial small subunit ribosomal RNA", at positions 338 to 795 of the family's 1533-position model. Lineage: Bacteria; Pseudomonadati; Pseudomonadota; Gammaproteobacteria; Oceanospirillales; Halomonadaceae. The record is from RNAcentral.
CCUACGGGGGGCAGCAGUGGGGAAUAUUGGACAAUGGGGGCAACCCUGAUCCAGCCAUGCCGCGUGUGUGAAGAAGGCCCUCGGGUUGUAAAGCACUUUCAGUGAGGAAGAACGCCUGGUGGUUAAUACCCAUCAGGAAAGACAUCACUCACAGAAGAAGCACCGGCUAACUCCGUGCCAGUAGCCGCGGUAAUACGGAGGGUGCGAGCGUUAAUCGGAAUUACUGGGCGUAAAGCGCGCGUAGGUGGCUUGAUAAGCCGGUUGUGAAAGCCCCGGGCUCAACCUGGGAACGGCAUCCGGAACUGUCAAGCUAGAGUGCAGGAGAGGAAGGUAGAAUUCCCGGUGUAGUGGUGAAAUGCGUAGAGAUCGGGAGGAAUACCAGUGGCGAAGGCGGCCUUCUGGACUGACACUGACACUGAGGUGCGAAAGCGUGGGUAGCAAACAGGAUUAGAUACCCUAGUAGUC